Molecule: long non-coding RNA, 316 nt
Organism: Panicum virgatum (switchgrass)
Lineage: Eukaryota; Viridiplantae; Streptophyta; Magnoliopsida; Poales; Poaceae
Exons: 2
Source: RefSeq, a predicted model, not a curated record
UGCUGCUGAAGAGAAGACCGACGACCAGGACUACCAGGAGGCCCAGGAGUUCUACGAGGAGCACUCAGUUUGGCAAGAUGCAGGAUCCGAUCAGGAGUUCGACACCAACAACGAUGGAUGGUACGAUUGAAGCUUAGAAGCCCGUGCUACGCUCAAGUGCUGUCUGUGGAGGUGAAGUUCGAGAUGAAGGAAGGCCUGAAGACCAGCUAUCGCUACCAUUUUCUGUUUGUUCCAUUUGAGCCCAAUGGGCUUGUAAUAAAUUAUUCGUACUGCAAAUCCUCUGGAUUUUGUAAUAAUUAAAUCCAUGUUUGAACCU